GCCCAAGUGGCGGAAUUGGUAGACGCGCACGUUUGAGGGGCGUGUGGCGAAAGCCGUGCCGGUUCGAGUCCGGCCUUGGGCACCA
This 85-nucleotide transfer RNA is filed under the name Acidobacteriota bacterium. RNAcentral describes it as "tRNA-Leu". It matches the Rfam family "tRNA". From Rfam's summary of the family: Transfer RNA (tRNA) molecules are approximately 80 nucleotides in length. Their secondary structure includes four short double-helical elements and three loops (D, anti-codon, and T loops). Lineage: Bacteria; Pseudomonadati; Acidobacteriota. The record is from RNAcentral. RNAcentral also lists the same sequence under 2 other names.